GGAGAGGACGAAAGAUCGAUAAGGUUUUUGUUCUUGUACUGCUGGUGUUGUUUAUUUCAAGAUAUGAUUCCGUAAUGAUACGGAAGAGAGAAAGUAAGAAGCCGGGUCUAAUUAAACAGACUAGGUUGAACUUAGUCCUAUAGCUCAGUUGGUUAGAGCGCUACACUGAUAAUGUAGAGGUCGGCAGUUCAACUCUGCCUGGGACUACGAACGGAAUCAAGUUCGGGGGAUUAGCUCAGCUGGCUAGAGCAUCUGCCUUGCACGCAGAGGGUCAACGGUUCGAAUCCGUUAUUCUCCACUCCAUCGGAAACGUAAGAAACGAAGAUGAACGAUCUAUGACAUAUUGUACAAGCAAACAGUAAUUUUAGUAGUAAAGAGCUGAAAGUAUAUAUCAUCCCGCCGGCACGCAAGUGUGAGCGAAUGGAUA
This 427-nucleotide transfer RNA is filed under the name Phocaeicola vulgatus. RNAcentral's name for it is "Bacteroides vulgatus partial 16S-23S ribosomal RNA intergenic spacer". The stretch from base 134 to 207 matches the Rfam family "tRNA". Lineage: Bacteria; Pseudomonadati; Bacteroidota; Bacteroidia; Bacteroidales; Bacteroidaceae. The record is from RNAcentral.